This 442-nucleotide ribosomal RNA is filed under the name uncultured bacterium. Its description in RNAcentral is "partial 16S ribosomal RNA". It matches the Rfam family "Bacterial small subunit ribosomal RNA", at positions 338 to 795 of the family's 1533-position model. The record is from RNAcentral.
CCUACGGGAGGCAGCAGUAGGGAAUCUUUCACAAUGGGCGAAAGCCUGAUGGAGCAACGCCGCGUGCAGGAUGAAGGCCUUCGGGUUGUAAACUGCUUUUAUAAGCGAGAAAUAUGAUGGUAACUUAUGAAUAAGGAUCGGCUAACUACGUGCCAGCAGCCGCGGUCAUACGUAGGAUCCGAGCAUUAUCCGGAGUGACUGGGUGUAAAGAGUUGCGUAGGUGGCAUAAUAAGUAGCUAGUGAAAUCUGGUGGCUCAACCAUUCAGACUAUUAGCUAAACUGUUAAGCUCGAGACCGUUAGGGGUAACUGGAAUGUCUAGUGUAGGAGUGAAAUCCGUAGAUAUUAGAAGGAACACCGAUAGCGUAGGCAGGUUGCUGGGACGGUUCUGACACUAAGGCACGAAAGCGUAGGGAGCAAACGGGAUUAGAUACCCUUGUAGUC